ACCGUGGGUCCCGGAGGAGGCAGCAGCGGGAGCGGGCGCUCGGCUGGCUCCCUCCCGCCCCCGCCGCGCCCUGAGCCUGCGGCUACCGCCUCCUCCCGCCCUCGCUGCUCCCCUCCUUCUCCCCGGGCUCCAAUCCCCACGUUCCGCCCGCUCCCCGCCCCCGGCUGCCUCCUUUCUCCCCACCUUCUCCCGCGAAUCCACACUCUUAAAGAGCGGAGGGAAGGCGCGCGGGCUGGCUGAGGCACGGACUGGCAGAGCCUCGUCGACAGGAGGCAGAGCUAGGGAGAGAUUUGGAGAAGGGUCGGGCCGACCUGAGAGAGGGAGAGAUCCUGACGUGGUGACACACAGCAGAGGAAUAGACUGACCGGUGGCAUACAGGUGAAGAGAGAAGCAUGCGAGCCAGACAGGCGCAGAAGAAAUAGGGCUAGAAUGGAUGAGAAACAAGGGGAUGGAGAACAGCCUGGAAGCCUCAGCCUCUCUUGGCCGGCCCCUCCUCGGAGUGAUAUGGGAAUCCGCCCGACCUUCAUCAGUAUUGCCUGCGCCUGGUGGGCGCCGGAAAUCAGAUGAAGACACCUGGUGUUCUCAUGUCCCAGGUUGCUGGAUGCUGCUUCCUGAUCCUUUGCCUCACAGGAGAUUUCUGUGCGCUUUUCCCAAAAGGACUCAGUUGAGAACUCCACAACAGGUUCAAGUGCUCCCCACCCCCGGCCCCCAGGCAGCGCCAGUCAUCUACGCGUUCUACUUAGGAGCUGGCCAUCAUUCUCCUUGGGAAGACUUCUGAGAUCCCAGACUUCCCAAGGAAUAUUCUUCCUGUAGUCUAACCCCAUUCCUUUCUUUUGCAGUGUCUACUUCUGGUAAUAGAUGGGAACUUAUGGAAUUGAGCUAAUGGACCAACUGAUUUUAGUUGUGCCACUCUGGAGGGGAAGGUGGAGGGCAGGGAUAAGAUGGGGAUCUUCCUAGAAGCUGGAAGCCAUUACCAUUUCUGAUUCCUUAGCGUUCUUUGCAGUGAGCACUUCCUGAAACGAUUUCCCUGAUGUCACCCUCUCCACUGGGGUUUCCAUGAUGAAAACUGGAGGUGGGAUCUGAGAAGCCAGUGUGCAGCUUAAUGUCCAGUACCUGCUCAAAGUACUCUUCACCACUGACUCUCAGGCUUUCUGGGCCUCCCUAUCAUCUCUCAGCUAAGUCCUUUCUGUGCUCAUCUUGUCUUUGGCAAAGGCUGGGAAGUCUGGUUCUGAUUACAAGGGGGCGGAGCACCUAAUUCCAGUCUGGUGGCAGGAAUAGGCUGUCAAGCAGGGCAUGUUGACAAUGUGGGUCCUCCCAGAGACUGGCGUUUGGGAGGGGGUGGAUGUGGCCAGGACUGGGAAGCCUUGAUCUUCCUGCUCUUGGCUGUGAUAGUUUUCAGCAGGCAGUUUCAGAGGUUAGAGCCUGGGGAGGGAAUGGAUGGGGAAGCACUGGGAGAG
RNAcentral lists this long non-coding RNA (1457 nucleotides) under Marmota monax (woodchuck). Lineage: Eukaryota; Metazoa; Chordata; Mammalia; Rodentia; Sciuridae. The record is from RNAcentral.